UGAGCAUCAGAAUCAUGCUGAAACAAUUCAUUCAAUCAUCUACAUAUUCGUCCUGGUCAGAGUCUCAGUCGUCUCACAAGUCAGACUUUUAGCUAAAGCAUUAAAUGCCAUGUUUUGACUUGGUGGGCGAAAACUGGAGAACCUCAUGAAACUCUGCAAACAUGACCCCAGUUGAGCUUUGAACCAGCAACCCUUGGAACACAAAGCAGUAACACUACUCACUACGCUAACUCACAACUGCAGGCGCAAGCUAAAGUUUAACUAGCUUACCGUAUGCAUUGUUACAACCCGCUAUCUGGGACAGGAAGGUUUCUUUUUGUGUGCAGUGCCAUAUUUUGUGUGCAGGUCCGAACUCCCUCCCAGAGUUUCCAGCCUGCCUUGCUUCCACCUCCCAGGAUGAUGUCACUAAAUGGCGGCCAUGUUUAAAGAGGAAGAGGAGUGAGAAUGGCGUGGGAUGUUGGAGGUGGUUACAUGUGUUUCUGUUAAGAGAGUGUGUUUGGUUGUGCUGCUUGUAUGCUAUUUUCUGACUGCUGUUCUGGUUUUUGGACUUUGAGUUUAUUUGUACCUGUUUAUGUGCAUUCUAUUCAGCAUUGUAUAUAUGAUUCACUUGGUUCACCUGCAGUAGGGGUGUGGCUGCCAUUUCUUUUGGGAGAGGGUCCUUUGUCUCUGUUUUUGGCUUAGGUAGUUAGGGAAGUACUUGUAUUUUCUUUAUGUUCCUUUUAGUUAAGCUAGGUACCUAACAAGAGAAUUCUUUUGUCUAUUAUUUUGGCCUUGGCCCACCCUGAAGUUACUUCUGGUUUGGUUCCUUGUACAGUUAUGUGUUUUUUUUUUAUAAUUUUGUGUUUUACAAUAUACCACAACCUUUUUGAACAACCCUGUUUGUGUUGUUAUUCCUGGCUUCCCUUAUUUAAAGGUCAAAUUCCACUGAAUUCUGAGCUGGUUACUCUGUGCGGCCUAACCUAGACUGGGCCGUAACAGCAUUAAUUUACCAAGCAACAUUUACCUAAUUUACUGAUACAUAGAAGUCUUUAAGAAAUGUAUACAUUCAAGGCUAUAUAAUGUAUAUGUACAAAUACUAAACAAUAGUAUGCUAAAUAAGUAUGCUUUUAAAAAAAAAGGUUGUACACAAACUAACUAU
Ictalurus punctatus (channel catfish) is the source of this 1138-nucleotide long non-coding RNA. The record is from Ensembl. NCBI's taxonomy places the organism in Eukaryota, Metazoa, Chordata, Actinopteri, Siluriformes, Ictaluridae.